UCGAACGAGAAAGCGGGAGCAAUCUCGCAAGUAAAGUGGCGUACGGGUGAGUAACACGUGGAUUAUCUGCCCUGGAGUGGGGAAUAACGCUGGGAAACCGGCGCUAAUACCGCAUAUUCCCGAGAGGGGAAAGCAGCAAUGCGCUGAGAGAGGAGCCCGCGGCCGAUUAGCUAGUUGGCAGGGUAAAAGCCUACCAAGGCAUAGAUCGGUAGCCGGCCUGAGAGGGCACACGGCCACACUGGCACUGAAACACGGGCCAGACUCCUACGGGAGGCAGCAGUGGGGAAUCUUGCACAAUGGGGGCAACCCUGAUGCAGCGACGCCGCGUGAGCGAUGAAGCCCUUCGGGGUGUAAAGCUCUUUCGUCAGGGACGAUAAUGACGGUACCUGGAGAAGCAGCUGCGGCUAACUACGUGCCAGCAGCCGCGGUAAUACGUAGGCAGCGAGCGUUGUUCGGAGUUACUGGGCGUAAAGGGUGUGUAGGCGGUUUUCUAAGUUUGGUGUGAAAUCUCCCGGCUCAACCGGGAGGGUGCGCCGAAAACUGGGAGACUAGAGUGCGGGAUGGGAGAGUAGAAUUCCUGGUGUAGCGGUGAAAUGCGUAGAUAUCAGGAGGAAUACCGGUGGGUGUAGACGGCUCUCUGGACCGCCACUGACGCUGAGACACGAAAGCGUGGGUAGCAAACAGGAUUAGAUACCCUGGUAGUCCACGCCCUAAACGAUGCAUANUUUGGUGUAGGUCAUUCAGUUGAUCUGUGCCGGAGCUAACGCGUUAAAUAUGCCGCCUGGGGAGUACAGUCGCAAGGCUGAAACUCAAAGGGAAUUGACGGGGG
RNAcentral lists this ribosomal RNA (829 nucleotides) under uncultured bacterium. RNAcentral describes it as "bacterial SSU rRNA". It matches the Rfam family "Bacterial small subunit ribosomal RNA", at positions 62 to 919 of the family's 1533-position model. The record is from RNAcentral.